This 75-nucleotide transfer RNA is filed under the name Candidatus Collierbacteria bacterium. RNAcentral's name for it is "tRNA-Asn". It matches the Rfam family "tRNA". Rfam says of the family: Transfer RNA (tRNA) molecules are approximately 80 nucleotides in length. Their secondary structure includes four short double-helical elements and three loops (D, anti-codon, and T loops). Lineage: Bacteria; Candidatus Collieribacteriota. The record is from RNAcentral.
UCCCCUGUAGCUCAACGGUAGAGCAACAUCCUGUUAAGAUGAAGGUUCGUGGUUCGAAUCCACGCGGGGGAGCUA